AUGAUGCGGGCGUGCUGGUUGGUGAGGCAGGACAAUCGGCACCAACGAAUCAAGCUUCCACAUCUGGAAGUGAUUGUGCUUGGGCGCAGCCCCGAGACCAAGAUCACAGACAAGAAAUGUUCCCGCCAACAAGUACAAUUGAAAGCAGAAUGUAAUAAAGGCUAUGUCAAGGUGAAGCAGGUCGGGGUCAAUCCCACCAGCAUUGACUCAGUCAUAAUUGGGAAGGACCAAGAAGUGAAGCUGCAGCCUGGCCAGGUUCUCCACAUGGUGAAUGAGCUUUAUCCAUAUAUUAUAGAGUUUGAGGAAGAGUCAACGAGCUCUGGUCCGAUGACACCCAGGAAGAGAAAGAGGUCAGGCAACAGGGAUUCUUUAGAAAGUAAUGCUGCUCCGGAGCCUGAGCCUGGGACUAGACUGGAGUCUGGGAUCCACUCUAGCCAAUGCUCUGUUUCCCCAAAGAAGAGCAAAGAUGAUGCAUCUACCAAGAAGGAAUCAUUGGGCCACUGGAGUCAAGGCUUGAAGGUUUCUAUGCAGGACCCAAAAAUGCAGGUUUACAAAGACGAGCAGGUGGUGGUGAUCAAGGAUAAAUACCCCAAGGCUCGGUACCACUGGCUGGUCUUACCGUGGGCGUCCAUUUCCAGUCUGAAGGUUGUGAGCAGGGAGCACCUUCAGCUGCUCAAACACAUGCACUCCGUGGGGGAGAAGGUGAUUGCAGACCAUGCUGGCGCCAGUGAGGUCCGUUUCCGACUGGGCUACCAUGCCAUUCCCAGCAUGAGCCAAGUACACCUUCACGUAAUCAGCCAGGAUUUUGAUUCUCCUUGUCUUAAAAAUAAAAAGCAUUGGAAUUCUUUCAAUACAGAAUACUUCCUAGAAUCACAAGCUGUGGUGGAGAUGAUACAGGAAUCUGGCAGAGUGACAGUCCGAGACGGGAUGCCUGAGCUCUUGAAACUGCCCCUCCGUUGUCACGAGUGCCAGCAGCUGCUGCCUUCCAUGCCUCAUCUGAAAGAGCAUCUCAAGAAGCACUGGUCGAAGUGAUUCUGUGGAGCGUGGUCUACUGCACAAACUGUGGCUGGCUAUCCAGAGCUGGGCACCUGUCCUGCAUUGUGGGUGGACCUUUCAUUUCUCGAAUUAAAAUGCACAGCUUUGGGGGCUGGAGAGAGAGUACAUCCUUGCAAGGCAAGUGAGGGCACUUGCCUUGCAUGUGGCGAACCUUGAUUCAACCCCUGACACCACAUAUGUUCUCCAGAGCAGCAUCAGGUUCUUUGCCUCAGUGUGUCAUGCAGCUUGACAGCCAGCCACGGAUAUGUUCCCAGACAGAGUGCUCCUGGAGUCUUAUG
Molecule: RNA transcript, 1334 nt
Organism: Sorex fumeus (smoky shrew)
Lineage: Eukaryota; Metazoa; Chordata; Mammalia; Eulipotyphla; Soricidae
Gene: APTX
Gene name: aprataxin
Exons: 8
Source: RefSeq, a predicted model, not a curated record